This 492-nucleotide ribosomal RNA is filed under the name uncultured bacterium. Its description in RNAcentral is "partial 16S ribosomal RNA". It matches the Rfam family "Bacterial small subunit ribosomal RNA", at positions 29 to 507 of the family's 1533-position model. The record is from RNAcentral.
AGUGAACGCUGGCGGUAGGCCUAACACAUGCAAGUCGAACGGCAGCACAGUAAGAGCUUGCCCUUACGGGUGGCGAGUGGCGGACGGGUGAGGAAUACAUCGGAAUCUACUUUUUCGUGGGGGAUAACGUAGGGAAACUUACGCUAAUACCGCAUACGACCUACGGGUGAAAGCAGGGGAUCUUCGGACCUUGCGCGAUUGAAUGAGCCGAUGUCGGAUUAGCUAGUUGGCGGGGUAAAGGCCCACCAAGGCGACGAUCCGUAGCUGGUCUGAGAGGAUGAUCAGCCACACUGGAACUGAGAAAAGGUCCAGACUCCUACGGGAGGCAGCAGUGGGGAAUAUUGGACAAUGGGCGCAAGCCUGAUCCAGCCAUACCGCGUGGGUGAAGAAGGCCUUCGGGUUGUAAAGCCCUUUUGUUGGGAAAGAAAAGCAGCAGGUUAAUACCCCGCUGUUCUGACGGUACCCAAAGAAUAAGCACCGGCUAACUUCGUG